Molecule: small RNA, 148 nt
Filed under: Pongo abelii (Sumatran orangutan)
Lineage: Eukaryota; Metazoa; Chordata; Mammalia; Primates; Hominidae
Description: Metazoan signal recognition particle RNA (ENSPPYG00000031889.1)
Source: Rfam by way of RNAcentral
GCUGGGUGUGGUGGCUCACACCUGUGAUCCCAGCACUUUGGGAGGCCGAGGUGGGAGGAUCGCUUGAGCCCAGGAGUUUGAGGCUGCAGUGAGCCGUGAUUGUGCCACUGCACUCCAGCCUGGGUGACAGAGUGAGACUCUGUCUCUA